GUAGGUGGCAAGCGUUGUCCGGAAUUAUUGGGCGUAAAGCGCGCGCAGGCGGUUCUUUAAGUCUGAUGUGAAAGCCCACGGGCUCAACCGUGGAGGGUCAUUGGAAACUGGAGAACUUGAGUACAGAAGAGGGAAGCGGAAUUCCACGUGUAGCGGUGAAAUGCGUAGAGAUGUGGAGGAACACCAGUGGCGAAGGCGGCUUUCUGGUCUGUAACUGACGCUGAGGCGCGAAAGCGUGGGGAGCAAACAGGAUUAGAUACCCUGGUAGUCCACGCCGUAAACGAUGAGUGCUAAGUGUUAGGGGGUUUCCGCCCCUUAGUGCUGCAGCUAACGCAUUAAGCACUCCGCCUGGGGAGUACGGCCGCAAAGGCUG
RNAcentral lists this ribosomal RNA (373 nucleotides) under uncultured organism. Its description in RNAcentral is "partial 16S ribosomal RNA". It matches the Rfam family "Bacterial small subunit ribosomal RNA", at positions 527 to 896 of the family's 1533-position model. The record is from RNAcentral.